Molecule: ribosomal RNA, 253 nt
Filed under: uncultured bacterium
Lineage: Bacteria
Description: partial 16S ribosomal RNA
Rfam family: Bacterial small subunit ribosomal RNA
Source: RNAcentral
UACGGAGGGGGCUAGCGUUGUUCGGAAUUACUGGGCGUAAAGCGCGCGUAGGCGGAUCUGCAAGUCGGGGGUGAAAGCCCGAGGCUCAACCUCGGAACUGCCUUCGAUACUGCGGGUCUCGAGUCCGGGAGAGGUGAGUGGAAUUCCUAGUGUAGAGGUGAAAUUCGUAGAUAUUAGGAAGAACACCAGUGGCGAAGGCGGCUCACUGGCCCGGUACUGACGCUGAGACGCGAAAGCGUGGGGAGCGAACCGG